Molecule: long non-coding RNA, 1212 nt
Filed under: Anser brachyrhynchus (Pink-footed goose)
Lineage: Eukaryota; Metazoa; Chordata; Aves; Anseriformes; Anatidae
Description: lncRNA (ENSABRG00000000497.1)
Source: RNAcentral
GGGCAAGUAACUUGUGCCACUUUAAGAGUUAGAAAAAAGGAGUGUUUUUCAGGAUCUUUAGUUCUGCUACAGAGUCAUUGUAUCAUCUCAGCUAAUUAAUUUCACCUUUUAUAUGCUUCAGUAUUUCCAUCUGUGAAUGAACUAAUGACACCUACUUAAAGGCAGCAUUGUGAAGAUUAAUUAAUUGACAUUAUUGAAGUAUCCUGAGGUGGAAAUUCUGAUGUAAGUACAAAAUAUUGUUACUGAUACUUCCUAAUUAAUCAGCUCACAGUAGCCAGCAUGUGGUAAUCAUAUUGGUCUAGAGCAAACAAACAGAACUGGAUUAUAUUUGAAAUCUGUGGUUCACUCUCUCUCUCUCUCUCAUUUCUGUUUUUACAUGUUAAAGGAACAAUCUUAUGCACUGAGUGAACACUUAUGAAGUAUCUCACGAACACCGCAUGCACAAUGAAUAUGGUUUUGUAUCGCUUCUUAGUGUUCUUUGUCAUUUCCAACCGCAUCCUCCAGAAGGUAAAACAAGUCCUUGCUCAGCCUGUAGAAAGAAGAUUGGAAAGAGUUUGAUGGGAAUUACCAGAGCCUGCUGCCUCCCAGCUGCUGCCUGACUUUGAGUGUCAAGCAAUCAGAAAUACCAAGAUGUGUGGCAUUUCUUCAGUGUGGUGAAGGGCAGUUUUGUUCGCUUCUGACAGGUGGGUCAGCCAUUCUUGGAGCAGCAGACAGCUCGAAGUGUGUUAAUGGGGUAACUGCCAAAGUGUGUUAAUGGUGUAACUGCCAAAAAAUGAUCCUGAAGGCAUUCCCAAUACUUCCAAGAAUAUCAUACCAAGCAAAACCACUUCUUAUGGUCAUGUGGGACACACACAGAUCAGAGUUAGAGUUGGGCUAGCAGCUAUGCCAUGUGAUGUGAGUAAAUUACCGUCUCUCUCCUCUCAAUUUAGUCACUUAUUAAACUGGGAAAUAGUCUCAGCAUGCUGUACGAGGGUACUGGGAAGACAACUUAGCCUCAGCUAAAAGUGUGCUUAAAAUUUUGCAUUGGAGAGCAUAAUAGAAGUGUGAAGCAUCUUAUGUUAGACGCUGUGGAAUUAGCAAGCAUGGCUAAUCCCUAGCAUUCAACAAUAAUUUCUCUGUACUGGGACAGAAAUACAACACCAAUAAGAAAAGUGCAGUGGCUAGACCAAUGGCAGCUGCAAUAAAGCAGCAUUUCGAUUUGUUAGUCUCUCA